This 425-nucleotide ribosomal RNA is filed under the name uncultured Cohnella sp. RNAcentral describes it as "bacterial SSU rRNA". It matches the Rfam family "Bacterial small subunit ribosomal RNA", at positions 355 to 774 of the family's 1533-position model. Lineage: Bacteria; Bacillati; Bacillota; Bacilli; Caryophanales; Paenibacillaceae. The record is from RNAcentral.
UAGGGAAUCUUCCACAAUGGGCGCAAGCCUGAUGGAGCAACGCCGCGUGAGUGAGGAAGGCUUUCGGGUCGUAAAGCUCUGUUGCCAGGGAAGAAUAAGGGUGUGUUAACUGCACAUUCGAUGACGGUACCUGAGAAGAAAGCCCCGGCUAACUACGUGCCAGCAGCCGCGGUAAUACGUAGGGGGCAAGCGUUGUCCGGAAUUAUUGGGCGUAAAGCGCGCGCAGGCGGUCUUUUAAGUCUGGUGUCUAAGUGCGGGGCUCAACCCCGUGAUGCACUGGAAACUGGGAGACUUGAGUGCAGAAGAGGAGAGCGGAAUUCCACGUGUAGCGGUGAAAUGCGUAGAGAUGUGGAGGAACACCAGUGGCGAAGGCGGCUCUCUGGACUGUAACUGACGCUGAGGCGCGAAAGCGUGGGGAGCAAACA